Long non-coding RNA from Amphimedon queenslandica, 254 nucleotides. RefSeq lists it as uncharacterized. The record is from RefSeq and is a predicted model, not a curated record. Lineage: Eukaryota; Metazoa; Porifera; Demospongiae; Haplosclerida; Niphatidae. The transcript is spliced from 4 exons.
UUUAAUAAUUAGGAGUCGAUAGUUAGAGUGACUCUUUUAUCAAGAACAACCAAACACAGACGAAUAGUGAAUGAAGAUGAAUUGAUAAAAGCAAUGAAAACAGUUGGAUAUUUCCGGCUACGAGUGGUCGACUACAAAUACAGGGAUUUCCCCUUUCUUGAACAGAUUGAGUCUUCACACAACACUGAUAUAUUUAUUGGGAUGCAUGGCUCUGGUCUAACUCACUUACUUUUCCUCCCGGACUGGGGAGCUAU